AGGACUGGGCAUAUCAAGAAGACAAGAGACAACACAGACAUCAGUUCAAGACAUCUCAGUGGACAAAUGUCAUGUCAAAAGGGAUUUGCACAGUUCAUCCCUAUUGCAGUUUUGCAUUUAAACACCACAGUGUCAAACUGAUUACGUCGACAAGAGACACCCCACUCUUCACCUGUUUUGGGUACUGUAUGUUUGAUGACUGUCCUGUAUGUGUUGAGGUAAGCAAUGUUGACCUUCCAGGGAGACUGUGUCAGACACGAUCGUGAGGAGUUGAAAAGGAGGCCUGUCUGUGGGAAAGAAAGGGAAGUCAUUGCAAAAACAUUGACUUCAAAAAUCCCCCGUUCUCUGUACCUGGAAAACCUUAGUGAACUAGAUGAGACUGUGGAGGACUCUGGGUGCAGGGAUGAAGUACCAACAACGGGUGUCCUGAAAACAAUUUCUCGGGGUGCAAGGAAGAAACACCGCAGAGACAAGAAUGAAAUGAUUAGCCUCCAAAAGAUCAUUGAAGAUGAGCUGCAGGAAGGGGGGGUGUAAUCCAAAAGGUGAUCCAGUACCCAAAGGGAGUGAUGCUGUGGUCUCUGGAGACCAUUCAGCUUUUUGCUGGAAGGGCUAAGGAGGACAUAGUUUAUGUUGAUGCAACAGGGAGCAUCAUUAAAAAGGCAAAGGGUGAAAUAGUGGUCAGACAUCCUUUGAAAGGUGGGUCGCCAGUCCCAGUGGCCACAUUUGUCACAUGCGACCACACAACUUCAUCUGUGUCAUUUUUCCUGGGGUCAUUCAUGACAGACUGCAUCAGAUGCCAUGGAAGGCAUAUCAAGAAAAGGUGUGUGAUGUACAUAUGUGAUGGAUCUCUGGUCCUACCUAUACCUAUUCUACACCGAUGCCUCAGCCACAUCAUGAAAAAUGCAAAGGACCUUUGCCGGAAGCAUGCUUACAAACAGUACCACCUGGCUAUGCACGUCUUCGGGCUGAUGACACAAGCCACCACGCUCCAUGAGCUUGAUGACAUAGUCCGCAGCACUAAUGUGGUGUUCUCGAGCUCAUGCAGUGGACAGCAGGUUGAAAAACAUUUUCACAACCUGCAAAGACUUCUGACCCCCUGA
Molecule: long non-coding RNA, 1100 nt
Filed under: Dicentrarchus labrax (European seabass)
Lineage: Eukaryota; Metazoa; Chordata; Actinopteri; Moronidae
Description: lncRNA (ENSDLAG00005033183.1)
Source: RNAcentral